UAUAACUUUAGUUCUUUUACAAUUAUAAACAUUAACAGAGAAGAAGAAAUAAUACCAUUGUUUUCUAUAUUCUACAGUUUCCCAGAUAUCUUUUAUUGUAACAACUUGUUUUCCAAAAGAAAGGGACCAACAUGAACAUGACUACCCCUGAAGUAGUUCUUAAACCAAACAACUACCUUGAUUGGAGCAUAACACUAAAAGCUUAUCUAGAGGCUCAAGGUGUUUGGGAUGUGGUUGAUGAAUCAGAACCGUCUGAUCAACCAGAAGAAAAUCAAGGUCAUCAAGAGCAUGUAAAACACAAACUCCUCCUUUUCAGAAUUUGACUUGGCUUCUUCUACAAAACGUUUGGAUAAUGGCAAUGCUUCGAGUCCAGUUUAGUUUAUGUUAUGCAGCAAACAUGGACUUCAAAUGUUCUCAGAGAUGUACAACAACCAAAUCACACCUAAACCAAAUACCAAACACUGCAGCAAGUAACACGUGCAGACAGAAAACACAGAGAGUUUAUACUGGUUCAGAGCAGAAAAGUCUCCUAAGUCCAGUGUGGUGGCCUUGCCAUCUCAAUCCACUAAUAUCAAAGAGUUACAGACUACAAGAGAACAAUGGUGGUGCAAUGAAUACAAACCCUCAGCUAUCACACACAGGUUUGUACACUUAUACCAAAUUCCCAGAUAAUAAUUCUUUGAACUACCUGGAGAAAAGAAUCCCAGUUCAAAAAGUCCUUCUGUAGAUACCAAAGUUGUGUUUUCUCUCAUAAAUUCUGAAGGUCUAAUGGUAGCAAGCGAAGCUAACGUUGCUCUACAUAGAGAAAGUCUCAAAACAACAAAGGUAACCAUAAAAGAAAGGAACUCCAUUAUUUUCAAGCUCAUGAUGAUGCCAAAGUUACCACAGCAACGGAAUUAACCCCAUUAUUUUCAAGUUCAUGAUAAUAUUCGGGGUACUUUUCAGGCAUCUUCUUGUAAAAUCAGUCAGACUCAGGCAUGGGAAAAUGCAUGUGGUAGUGAACGCUCUUAACCCCACAUUUGACUCAAUGGUAAUGGUGAAUAUUUAGUUAACUGUUAUACUGUUGAUGAUGGAAUUCGACAUGAAGAAAAGUGCACAAGUAUAAUUGAGUACGCAAUGUGAAGGUUGACCAAAUCCACAUUCGGACCAGCCUUGUUAAAUAACCAAAUACAUCAAGUAAACAAAGAACCAAAUACAUACUGGGAUGGGAUGUUAAGAGACCUAAUGGUAGUGGGGCUAGUUUCCAGGUGGUCACACUGUUGGAGUGGCAUACUGCUUUCUGUUCCAAGAUCGUCUUUACAACUUCAAUGGCACUAACAAGGCUGACCCAACAAUGGACCCAAUGUUGGUGAAAGAGUUGAAGCCAAAGUGUUGAUGCAGAAAACAUCAUAAUACUUGUUGGUUCAGCUCACACUUAACUCAUGCCACUCUUGUUCUUGCACGUGUCUUGACAAUGGUUUAGUCUGUUAAGCCAGUUAGUUUCAGUUUCUUGGUUUUAGUUGAGUCUGUCAUUCUGAUAUGUUCUGAUUGGUCCCUUGUGUCUAUUCAAGUGUAUCUGUUUCAUUGUAAUAAAAAGUGUGACAUAAGUGAGAUCAUGGUAAUACUAAAAAAUAGAGAGUGAAAGAGAGACUGGAUUUGUCAUCACUCUAUUUUUCCUUGCUAGCCUUCCUGUGAGAUUAUUUGGGUGGAUGCAGUUUCCUCCUCUUAUACAGAUUUUGAAAUCUCCCUAUGGACCAAGCAUCUUCAGCCCGAAAGUCCAACGCUGGCUAUAGAAUAUUUGUUUUAGUUGUAAGGAUAUAUUGGUGUGUUGAUGAUCAUUUAUGUUUUAUUUGCUUAAUUAACUUGGAAAGAAACCUGUUUAUAUUGAGUGAAACUAAU
Humulus lupulus (European hop) is the source of this 1878-nucleotide long non-coding RNA. RefSeq lists it as uncharacterized. The transcript has 3 exons. The record is from RefSeq and is a predicted model, not a curated record. Lineage: Eukaryota; Viridiplantae; Streptophyta; Magnoliopsida; Rosales; Cannabaceae.